UAUUAAAGGCAACGCCUGCCCAGUGAACAAUUAAACGGCCGCGGUAUCCUAACCGUGCAAAGGUAGCGUAAUCACUUGUCUAUUAAUUGUACACCCGUAUGAAAGGCAUAAUGAGGGUCUAACUGUCUCUUAUAGUAAAUCAAUUAAACUGAUCUCCCAGUCCAAAAGCUGGAAUAUAAUCAUAAGACCAGAAGACCCUGUGAAGCUUAAACUAAACUAUUAAAACCAAUAAUAACUACUUUCGGUUGGGGCGACCUUGGAAACAAAAAGAACUUCCAAAAACGACCCAGACAAACUGAUAAUUGAACCAAGUUACUCCAGGGAUAACAGCGCUAUCUUCUUCAAGAGCCCAUAUCAAAAAGAAGGUUUACGACCUCGAUGUUGGAUCAGGACAUCCUAAUGGUGCAACCGGUAUUAAAGGUUCGUUUGUUCAACGAUUAACAGUCCUACGUGA
Molecule: ribosomal RNA, 454 nt
Filed under: Bungarus fasciatus (banded krait)
Lineage: Eukaryota; Metazoa; Chordata; Lepidosauria; Squamata; Elapidae
Description: partial 16S ribosomal RNA
Rfam family: Bacterial large subunit ribosomal RNA
Source: RNAcentral